This is a long non-coding RNA of Musa acuminata AAA Group (dessert banana), 342 nucleotides long. RefSeq lists it as uncharacterized. Lineage: Eukaryota; Viridiplantae; Streptophyta; Magnoliopsida; Zingiberales; Musaceae. The record is from RefSeq and is a predicted model, not a curated record. The transcript has 2 exons.
CGGUUGGUCUCGAUGAUAUUUCUGUUCUUAGCAUAAUUCUAUAUACCGAUUAAAAAAAGGGGAAAACUAUUGCAUUUGGCUCAAGCCGAACAGACAAACCAGACAUAAUUGUCAGCUAAAACAGCAUAUUGAAAAGCUGAACUGUCAAAGUUGAUUGCAUGGCUGCUACCCUGAUACAUUCGCGGCUGCUCUUGUCGUGAGCUGAUCAUCUUAAGUUCAUGUGUUAUCGUAUGUAUCUUGGAUUAUGGUAUAUGUAGCCAUCUUAGGAUGCCAAGAUCAUUCUAUUGUUAGAUUGGACAUCUGCCAUGGAGUUGAUUUCUACAAUAAUAUUACUUUCUUGAA